This 495-nucleotide ribosomal RNA is filed under the name uncultured bacterium. Its description in RNAcentral is "bacterial SSU rRNA". It matches the Rfam family "Bacterial small subunit ribosomal RNA", at positions 28 to 511 of the family's 1533-position model. The record is from RNAcentral.
GAUGAACGCUAGCUACAGGCUUAACACAUGCAAGUCGAGGGGCAGCGGGAUUGAAGCUUGCUUCAAUUGCCGGCGACCGGCGCACGGGUGAGUAACGCGUAUCCAACCUUCCGUACACUCAGGGAUAGCCUUUCGAAAGAAAGAUUAAUACCUGAUGGUAUGAUGAGAUUGCAUGAUAGCAUCAUUAAAGAUUUAUCGGUGUACGAUGGGGAUGCGUUCCAUUAGGUAGUAGGCGGGGUAACGGCCCACCUAGCCUACGAUGGAUAGGGGUUCUGAGAGGAAGGUCCCCCCACAUUGGAACUGAGACACGGUCCAAAACUCCUACGGGAGGCAGCAGUGAGGAAUAUUGGUCAAUGGGCGAGAGCCUGAACCAGCCAAGUAGCGUGCAGGAUGACGGCCCUAUGGGUUGUAAACUGCUUUUAUAAGGGAUAAAGUGGGAGUCGUGACUCUUUUUGCAUGUACCUUAUGAAUAAGGACCGGCUAAUUCCGUGCCAG